RNAcentral lists this ribosomal RNA (520 nucleotides) under uncultured delta proteobacterium. RNAcentral describes it as "bacterial SSU rRNA". It matches the Rfam family "Bacterial small subunit ribosomal RNA", at positions 28 to 523 of the family's 1533-position model. The record is from RNAcentral. Lineage: Bacteria; Deltaproteobacteria.
AACGAACGCUGGCGGCGUGCCUAAGACAUGCAAGUCGUGCGGAAAGGCUCCUUUCGGGAGCACUCGAGCGGCGCACGGGUGAGUAACACGUGGGUAAUCUACCUGAAGGUCUGGGACAACCCCGGGAAACUGGGGCUAAUACCGGAUGAGACCACGGCGUCUUCGGGGCGCAGCGGUCAAAGGUGGCCUCUCCUUGGAAGCUAUCGCCUGCAGAUGAGCCCCGCGUCCCAUUAGCUAGUUGGCGGGGUAACGGCCCACCAAGGCGACGAUGGGUAGCUGGUCUGAGAGGAUGAUCAGCCACACUGGAACUGAGACACGGUCCAGACUCCUACGGAGGCAGCAGUCGGGAAUUUUGGGCAAUGGGCGAAAGCCUGACCCAGCAACGCCGCGUGAGGGAUGAAGGCCUUCGGGUCGUAAACCUCUGUCGGGAGGGAAGAAAGGCUCGCGGGUGAACAAUCCGCGAACUUGACGGUACCUCCAAAGGAAGCGCCGGCUAACUCCGUGCCAGCAGCCGCGGUAA